UAAAACUACUAGGGGAGCUUCUGGCUGAGAUGAUGUAAUUCAGACCCUUACGACCUGAUUUGGUUAGUACCAACGUAGGAAAGUAGUCUACUUGCGCU
Molecule: non-coding RNA, 98 nt
Organism: Staphylococcus saprophyticus
Lineage: Bacteria; Bacillati; Bacillota; Bacilli; Caryophanales; Staphylococcaceae
Source: Rfam